GUUUUCGUGGUGUAAUUGUCAGCACGUUCGACUUGUAUUCGAGAGGACCGUGUUUCGAAUCCAAGCGAGGGCA
Molecule: transfer RNA, 73 nt
Filed under: Stegodyphus mimosarum
Lineage: Eukaryota; Metazoa; Arthropoda; Arachnida; Araneae; Eresidae
Rfam family: tRNA
About the family: Transfer RNA (tRNA) molecules are approximately 80 nucleotides in length. Their secondary structure includes four short double-helical elements and three loops (D, anti-codon, and T loops). Further hydrogen bonds mediate the characteristic L-shaped molecular structure. tRNAs have two regions of fundamental functional importance: the anti-codon, which is responsible for specific mRNA codon recognition, and the 3' end, to which the tRNAs corresponding amino acid is attached (by aminoacyl-tRNA synthetases). tRNAs cope with the degeneracy of the genetic code in two manners: having more than one tRNA (with a specific anti-codon) for a particular amino acid; and 'wobble' base-pairing, i.e. permitting non-standard base-pairing at the 3rd anti-codon position.
Source: Rfam by way of RNAcentral